GUUAGCGGCGGACGGGUGGGUAACACGUGGAUAACCUACCUAUAAGACUGGGAUAACUUCGGGAAACCGGAGCUAAUACCGGAUAAUAUUUUGAACCGCAUGGUUCAAAAGUGAAAGACGGUCUUGCUGUCACUUAUAGAUGGAUCCGCGCUGCAUUAGCUAGUUGGUAAGGUAACGGCUUACCAAGGCAACGAUGCAUAGCCGACCUGAGAGGGUGAUCGGCCACACUGGAACUGAGACACGGUCCAGACUCCUACGGGAGGCAGCAGUAGGGAAUCUUCCGCAAUGGGCGAAAGCCUGACGGAGCAACGCCGCGUGAGUGAUGAAGGUCUUCGGAUCGUAAAACUCUGUUAUUAGGGAAGAACAUAUGUGUAAGUAACUGUGCACAUCUUGACGGUACCUAAUCAGAAAGCCACGGCUAACUACGUGCCAGCAGCCGCGGUAAUACGUAGGUGGCAAGCGUUAUCCGGAAUUAUUGGGCGUAAAGCGCGCGUAGGCGGUUUUUUAAGUCUGAUGUGAAGGCCCACGGCUCAACCGUGGAGGGUCAUUGGAAACCGGAAAACUUGAGUGCAGAAGAGGAAAGUGGAAUUCCAUGUGUAGCGGUGAAAUGCGCAGAGAUAUGGAGGAACACCAGUGGCGAAGGCGACUUUCUGGUCUGUAACUGACGCUGAUGUGCGAAAGCGUGGGGAUCAAACAGGAUUAGAUACCCUGGUAGUCCACGCCGUAAACGAUGAGUGCUAAGUGUUAGGGGGUUU
Molecule: ribosomal RNA, 755 nt
Filed under: uncultured Staphylococcus sp.
Lineage: Bacteria; Bacillati; Bacillota; Bacilli; Caryophanales; Staphylococcaceae
Description: bacterial SSU rRNA
Rfam family: Bacterial small subunit ribosomal RNA
Source: RNAcentral